CCUACGGGUGGCAGCAGUGGGGAAUAUUGGGCAAUGGGCGCAAGCCUGACCCAGCAACGCCGCGUGAAGGAAGAAGGCUUUCGGGUUGUAAACUUCUUUUCUCAGGGACGAAGAAAGUGACGGUACCUGAGGAAUAAGCCACGGCUAACUACGUGCCAGCAGCCGCGGUAAUACGUAGGUGGCACGCGUUAUCCGGAUUCAUUGGGUUUAAAGGGUGCGCAGGCGGGCCCUUAAGCCGGCGGUGAAAUCGCGGGGCUCAACCCCGCCGAGCCGUCGGAACUGGGGGCCUUGAGUGCGGCGGAGGCAUGCGGAAUGCGCGGUGUAGCGGUGAAAUGCAUAGAUAUCGCGCAGAACCCCGAUUGCGAAGGCAGCGUACCGGCUCCACACUGACGCUGAGGCACGAAAGCGUGGGUAUCGAACAGGAUUAGAUACCCUUGUAGUC
Molecule: ribosomal RNA, 442 nt
Filed under: uncultured bacterium
Lineage: Bacteria
Description: partial 16S ribosomal RNA
Rfam family: Bacterial small subunit ribosomal RNA
Source: RNAcentral